GACGAACCGAGCGAACGUUGUUCGGAAUCACUGGGCUUAAAGGGCGCGUAGGCGGGCUGUCAAGUCUGGGGUGAAAUCCCGCGGCUCAACCGCGGAACUGCCUCAGAUACUGACGGUCUCGAGGGGGUAGGGGCGAGCGGAACUGAUGGUGGAGCGGUGAAAUGCGUUGAUAUCAUCAGGAACUCCGGUGGCGAAGGCGGCUCGCUGGACCCCUUCUGACGCUGAGGCGCGAAAGCCAGGGGAGCAAACGGG
Molecule: ribosomal RNA, 252 nt
Filed under: uncultured bacterium
Lineage: Bacteria
Description: partial 16S ribosomal RNA
Rfam family: Bacterial small subunit ribosomal RNA
Source: RNAcentral